AUUGAACGCUGGCGGCAUGCCUUACACAUGCAAGUCGAACGGUAACGCGGGGGCAACCCUGGCGACGAGUGGCGAACGGGUGAGUAAUACAUCGGAACAUGUCCAGUAGCGGGGGAUAACCUGUCGAAAGAUAGGCUAAUACCGCAUACGAUCUACGGAUGAAAGCGGGGGACCGCAAGGCCUCGCACUAUUGGAGUGGCCGAUGUCGGAUUAGCGAGUUGGUGGGGUAAAAGCUCACCAAGGCGACGAUCCGUAGCUGGUCUGAGAGGACGAUCAGCCACACUGGAACUGAGACACGGUCCAGACUCCUACGGGAGGCAGCAGCGGGGAAUUUUGGACAAUGGGCGCAAGCCUGAUCCAGCCAUGCCGCGUGAGUGAAGAAGGCCUUCGGGUUGUAAAGCUCUUUCGGUGAAGACGAAACGGUUAGCGUUAAUAGCGCUGACUAAUGACGGUACUCACAGAAGAAGCACCGGCUAACUACGUGCCAGCAGCCGCAGUAA
Molecule: ribosomal RNA, 500 nt
Filed under: uncultured bacterium
Lineage: Bacteria
Description: partial 16S ribosomal RNA
Rfam family: Bacterial small subunit ribosomal RNA
Source: RNAcentral